UUCGAGAAGAGGAAGAAAACAUAGCCUGAGAGCAGUGGGGAUAGGAACAUGGUGGAAAGCCUAACUUGCUUUUUUCACCUCUAGUGUUGGAGGUGAUAAUUUAGUUUGGUAUUUCCUGAUGUCUCCUAUUCCAAUUGUUCUCAAGCACUCCUUUCUUUUCUUUUUGGCU
Molecule: microRNA precursor, 169 nt
Filed under: Triticum aestivum (bread wheat)
Lineage: Eukaryota; Viridiplantae; Streptophyta; Magnoliopsida; Poales; Poaceae
Description: MIR2118 microRNA precursor family
Rfam family: MIR2118 microRNA precursor family
Source: Rfam by way of RNAcentral